CCUGGCGGCCGUAGCGCGGUGGUCCCACCUGACCCCAUGCCGAACUCAGAAGUGAAACGCCGUAGCGCCGAUGGUAGUGUGGGGUCUCCCCAUGCGAGA
Molecule: ribosomal RNA, 99 nt
Filed under: Escherichia coli
Lineage: Bacteria; Pseudomonadati; Pseudomonadota; Gammaproteobacteria; Enterobacterales; Enterobacteriaceae
Also listed under: 3 other names
Source: RNAcentral